GUACACUCCUGCGGGAGGCAGCAGUGGGGAAUUUUGGACAAUGGGCGAAAGCCUGAUCCAGCCAUGCCGCGUGCAGGAUGAAGGCCUUCGGGUUGUAAACUGCUUUUGUACGGAACGAAACGGCCUUUUCUAAUAAAGAGGGCUAAUGACGGUACCGUAAGAAUAAGCACCGGCUAACUACGUGCCAGCAGCCGCGGUAAUACGUAGGGUGCAAGCGUUAAUCGGAAUUACUGGGCGUAAAGCGUGCGCAGGCGGUUAUGUAAGACAGUUGUGAAAUCCCCGGGCUCAACCUGGGAACUGCAUCUGUGACUGCAUAGCUAGAGUACGGUAGAGGGGGAUGGAAUUCCGCGUGUAGCAGUGAAAUGCGUAGAUAUGCGGAGGAACACCGAUGGCGAAGGCAAUCCCCUGGACCUGUACUGACGCUCAUGCACGAAAGCGUGGGGAGCAAACAGGAUUAGAAACCCGAGUAGUCCCAU
This 476-nucleotide ribosomal RNA is filed under the name uncultured organism. Its description in RNAcentral is "partial 16S ribosomal RNA". It matches the Rfam family "Bacterial small subunit ribosomal RNA", at positions 331 to 798 of the family's 1533-position model. The record is from RNAcentral.